AUGGAAAGGGAGGUAGCCGGCCAUGAGGACGAAGAGGAUGACCCCGCAGGACCAUAUGUCGGCCUUGGCGCCGUCGUAUCCGCGGCGCGCGAGCAUCUCGGGCGCGACGUAGGAGGGGGUGCCGCAGAAGGUGUGGAGGAGGCCGUCGGGGUGGAACUGGUCGGCGACGGCGGAGAGGCCGAAGUCGGAGACCUUGAGGUCCCCGCGCUCGUCGACGAGGAGGUUCUCGGGCUUGAGGUCGCGGUGGAAGACGCCGCGCGCGUGGCAGAAGCCGACGGCGGAGAUGAGCUGCUGGAAGUAGCGGCGGGCCGUGUCCUCCUUGAGGCGGCCCUUGGCGACGCGCGCGAAGAGCUCGCCGCCGCGGACGAACUCCAUGACGAAGUAGAUCUUGGACUUGGUGGCCAUGACCUCGAAGAGGCGCACGAUGUUGGGGUGGCGGACGCGGCGGAGGAUGGUGAUCUCGCGCUUGAUGUGCGGGACGAGGCCGGCACGCAGCGCCUUCUCCUUGUCCAGCACCUUGAUGGCGACCGUCUCGCCCGUGUCGGCGUGGCGCGCGUGGUAGACCUUGGCGAAGGUGCCGUGGCCGAGGACGCGGCCCAGCUCGUAGCGGCCGAGCAGGAGGCCGCCGCGCUUGCCGUUGCCGCUGGC
This 648-nucleotide ribosomal RNA is filed under the name Triticum aestivum (bread wheat). Its description in RNAcentral is "partial small subunit ribosomal RNA". The record is from RNAcentral. Lineage: Eukaryota; Viridiplantae; Streptophyta; Magnoliopsida; Poales; Poaceae.